Molecule: ribosomal RNA, 1146 nt
Filed under: Paenibacillus chitinolyticus
Lineage: Bacteria; Bacillati; Bacillota; Bacilli; Caryophanales; Paenibacillaceae
Description: bacterial SSU rRNA
Rfam family: Bacterial small subunit ribosomal RNA
Source: RNAcentral
UGGCGGGUGCUAUACAUGCAAGUCGAGCGGACUUGAUGAGAAGCUUGCUUCUCUGAUGGUUAGCGGCGGACGGGUGAGUAACACGUAGGCAACCUGCCUGUAAGAUCGGGAUAACUACCGGAAACGGUAGCUAAGACCGGAUAAUCGGUUUCUCCGCAUGGAGAGAUCGUGAAACACGGAGCAAUCUGUGGCUUACGGAUGGGCCUGCGGCGCAUUAGCUAGUUGGUGAGGUAACGGCUCACCAAGGCGACGAUGCGUAGCCGACCUGAGAGGGUGAACGGCCACACUGGGACUGAGACACGGCCCAGACUCCUACGGGAGGCAGCAGUAGGGAAUCUUCCGCAAUGGACGCAAGUCUGACGGAGCAACGCCGCGUGAGUGAUGAAGGUUUUCGGAUCGUAAAGCUCUGUUGCCAGGGAAGAACGCCAAGGAGAGUAACUGCUCUUUGGGUGACGGUACCUGAGAAGAAAGCCCCGGCUAACUACGUGCCAGCAGCCGCGGUAAUACGUAGGGGGCAAGCGUUGUCCGGAAUUAUUGGGCGUAAAGCGCGCGCAGGCGGUUUUUUAAGUCUGGUGUUUAAUCCCGAGGCUCAACCUCGGUUCGCACCGGAAACUGGGAGACUGGAGUGCAGGAGAGGAAAGUGGAAUUCCACGUGUAGCGGUGAAAUGCGUAGAGAUGUGGAGGAACACCAGUGGCGAAGGCGACUUUCUGGCCUGUAACUGACGCUGAGGCGCGAAAGCGUGGGGAGCAAACAGGAUUAGAUACCCUGGUAGUCCACGCCGUAAACGAUGCAUGCUAGGUGUUAGGGGUUUCGAUACCCUUGGUGCCGAAGUUAACACAGUAAGCAUGCCGCCUGGGGAGUACGCUCGCAAGAGUGAACUCAAAGGAAUUGACGGGGACCCGCACAAGCAGUGAGUAUGUGGUUUAAUUCGAAGCAACGCGAAGACUUACCAGUCUUGACAUCCCUCUGACGGCUAGAAGAAUAAGCUUCUCGGGAAAGAGUGACAGUUGUGCAUGUGUCGUCAGCUCGUUCUGAAUGUGGGUAGUUCCCGCACGAGCCACCCUGGACUAGUGCAGCAGUAGCUGGCACUCUAGUGACUGCUGUACACCGAGAGCCGGAUAGACGCUCAAAUCUACUAUGCCUCG